This is a long non-coding RNA of Choloepus didactylus (southern two-toed sloth), 363 nucleotides long. RefSeq lists it as uncharacterized. Lineage: Eukaryota; Metazoa; Chordata; Mammalia; Pilosa; Megalonychidae. The record is from RefSeq and is a predicted model, not a curated record. The transcript is spliced from 3 exons.
UCACUUGCAUAUGGCAGAGACUCAAAGGCAGACAAAAGAGUGGGAAAGCUUUACAGUGGACAAAAGGACUGCAGGUGGCCUAGGGAAGAUGGAGGAAGUUCCUGGAAUGAACAAUAAAGUUAUUUGCAACUUUUAUUUUCCUGGACAAGAGUUUCCUGGAAUAGUAAAGUUAUUAUGAUGAAGGCAGCAGAAGAGUCAAGUCAUGCUGGUAAUGCUGAAAUAAACAUCUCUGGAUAUACAGCUUCCUGCUUCUGAAGAACGAAAGACAAAAAACAGAGAGCUAAGAAAAGGACUGAUUAAACUCUUAUGACAGUGGUUUUCAAACUUUUGGUCUUAGGGCACCUUUACACUCUUAAAACUAUU